UUCACAGAAUAUUAAAACUCUUUCUGGAGAUGAUUAUACUGGUGCUUUUAAUAAAUUCAAGGAAAUCAAGUUAAUUGAAGCUCUAUUUCAGAGUUAUCAAACUGAUGUUAUGAUAUGGCCAAAUAGUAAAUCUAAGGAAAGUGUGAUGAAAAGGGUGCAAUUCUUAUAAGUGCUCCUGCAGUAAAAGAAAUUCCUAUGCUGAUUUAUAAUAAAUUAGAAAGUUUUGAUUGUGCUGUACUGGAUGCUUGUAGAAAUCUUGAUUUCACUGAUAAGCUUUGGCUUAUCUUAAAAGAAUGCUCGUCUAUUGAAGAGCUGAUAGAAGCUCUGACUUACGUUUUUAAUGCUUUGAAGGAAGUCAGUCCUCCUUUAGUAAGUAUAA
Stegodyphus dumicola is the source of this 379-nucleotide long non-coding RNA. Lineage: Eukaryota; Metazoa; Arthropoda; Arachnida; Araneae; Eresidae. The record is from RefSeq and is a predicted model, not a curated record.